This 411-nucleotide unclassified non-coding RNA is filed under the name Athalia rosae (coleseed sawfly). RNAcentral's name for it is "misc RNA ENSAEAG00005009201.1". Lineage: Eukaryota; Metazoa; Arthropoda; Insecta; Hymenoptera; Athaliidae. The record is from RNAcentral.
GGCGUUACUACGAUCAACUUAUACGUACCUUGUCCCAAGUAUCGUAGCGAUACGUCGUCUCUUUCGUCUUCUCCUUGGUCAUGACCGUGAAAAAAUUUUUACUCAAUUCGCAAUAGACGCUCGAUGCGAACGGUAGAAAAGAACGGUUUUCCUGUUGUUUUUUUCGCUAAUCGAACUAAUUAUAGAUAACAAUAACAGUAACAACACUCGCUAAAAAUGUUUACCUCCGUGAGGUUAGCGUACUGCUUUUCAGUGAUUGUAAUCGUAGCUGGUCAUGUGCAACAAACACCCGGGAAGCAGAUUAACAGAGGGAAAAAUUUCUUCGGAUUAUUCGGCAAUAAGCCACCGCAAACGGACGACCCUCCAGAAAAAUGCUUUUGCAGCUGUGGCGUACGAAACGAGGAGAGCCGA